CUGGGUGCUUUGGUUGGAGAGGGUCCCAUUUCCAGUCAUUCUUCAGCCUGGUGAUUCCCGCGCUCCCCUGAGGAGCAUAUGAAGUACGUCGGUUCUGCCAGGUUGGAACGCGGUGCUGGACACUCGGCCGUAAGGCGGAUCCCGGAUCCCCUCCCACUCCGACCCUUCCCUUCAGAAGGGCCGGUUCCCAAACGGCCCCUUUAGACACAUCCAAGCGGUUUCCGACGGCCCUCACGAUGAAAACUGCUGUCCGUUGGUGAAGGCAGCCUCUUCUGUGCUCCUCGCCGCUGACUUCCUGAGGCGGACCUACCUGUGGAGGCAUACCAGGAACCAGACGAUGACCCCCUCCAAAAGUUGGGUCUUUGAGGAGAGCUACUAACUUGGGUUCCUGGUACACCCUCUACAUGCAGUGGUGAAGCUUAUCUAACAGUCAUUCAUAGAGUCAGUUUGGGAAGGGGAAUUUUCGCUGAACUCUCAUAGAGAAACUGUGUUUUAGAUAACAGAAAGUUCUGCACGGUUAAAAUGGAACAGAAUUUUUUUUGCACAGAAAUUAGGAUUACCGAAAAUACUGAAGAAAGACUACCUCUGAUUGGACUCUUCUCAAGGAAUUAAUAAUUCAAGAACUAAGGAAAGAAAAAAGUGAUUAUAUGAAAAUACUGAAGUUGAUCGUAGCAACUGAAGGCUGAUCCUGUGUGGGUAAAUGUAAACGCUGAAUUCCCCCAUUCCAAUGUGCGACCUGGGAUUAAGGCAGCAAUUGAGCAGGGCUGAAGUACAUUGGUGCAAUCUUGGCUCACUGCAUCUCCACCCCAGGUUCAAGCGAUUCUCCUGCCUCAGCCUCCCAAGCAGCUGGGAUUACAGAAUGUCACAUAAAUGGAAUCAUGCUGUGUCCGGAAUUGGUGGGUUCUUGGUCUCACUGACUUCAAGAAUGACGCCAUGGACCCUCACGGUGAGUGUUACAGCUCUUAAGGUGGCGCGUCUGGAGUUUGUUCCUUCUGAUGUUCGGAUGUGUUCGGAGUUUCUUCCUUCUGGUGGGUUCGUGGUCUCGCUGGCUCAGGAGUGAAGCUGCAGACUUUCGUGGGCUGGCCGACUGCUCCGAGUGCGGGGCCGCCAAGCCCACGCCCACCCGGAACUCCAGCUGGCCCGCAAGCGCCUCACGCAGCCCCGGUUCCCGCUCGCGCCUCUCCCUCCACACCUCCCUGCAAGCUGAGGGAGUGGGCUCCAGCCUUGGCCAGCCCAGAAAGGGGCUCCCACAGUGCAGUGGUGGGCUGAAGGGCUCCUCAAGUGCCGCCAAAGUGGGAGCCCAGGCAGAGGAGGUGCCGAGAGCAAGCAAGGGCUCUGAGGACUGCCAGCACACUGUCACCUCUCAAUACAAUUUCAUCUCUCUCUCUGCUAUGGACACAGAUGGCUUCACUCCAUCCUGUAUUCUCCGGACCAUGAUAAAAUUCCAGACUCUCGGUAGUUUUUGCGUUCCAAGAAGUAGAGCCUAGAGUGGUGGCCUAUAAUUACAGUUACUCAGGAGGCUGAGGCAGGAGGAUCCUUUGAGUCCAGCAGUUUGAGGCCAGCCUGGACACCACAGCAAGACCACCAAUAAAUAAAUAAAUAAAUGGAACAU
RNAcentral lists this non-coding RNA (1612 nucleotides) under Pan troglodytes (chimpanzee). The record is from RNAcentral. Lineage: Eukaryota; Metazoa; Chordata; Mammalia; Primates; Hominidae.